GUUAUAAACGGUUGUGGGGUUUUCGGUUGUGUGAUGUGACCGUCAGAAAACCGCAAUUGUACACGUGGUCCGUUCACAUCACCGGGCGCGCGGGGAAGCGCAUCCGGACCGUCUCUUACGUCACCAAAGGGGAGGUUUCCUCUCGCGCGGCGGCGGCGGCAGGAUGAGAGAGAGGAGAAGAGCUCGCGCUGCCGCUGCUGCGUUCCCCGUCGCCACCGCCCAGUAAGAGGCACCUGUAACCGGGAGCGCGUGCACGUUACCGUUAAAAGAACAAAUAUACAAAUAUAUAUUUAUUUAUUUCUUUCUACAAAGUUGGACCGGAUUUUCGCCUUUGGAUGAUUUAAGGACCUUGCUUUCCUUUGCGCUUUCACGCCAACGCGGGCGCACCGCGCAACGCACAAGGAUUUAGGAUACAGCUCAGUCUCCCGCGCCUCGCCAUGGGAUGCUCGUUAAGCGUGGAGGAGCGUGAGGCUCUAGAAAAGAGCAAAGCCAUCGAGAAGAACCUGAAGGAGGACGGAAUCUAUGAAGCGAAAGUAGUAAAGCUGCUGCUGCUCGGUGGAGGAGAGUCUGGGAAGAGCACUAUUGUCAAACAGAUGAAGAUUAUCCAUGAAGAUGGUUUCAGUGGCGACGACUUAAAGCAGUUUAAACCCAUCGUCUACAGCAACACCAUUCAGAGUCUCUUCUCCGUUCUAAAAGCUAUGGAGAACCUCAGCAUUGAGUAUGAAGACAAGGACAGGACAUCUGAUGGAAAGUUGGUCUGUGACAUAAUCACCCGUAUGGAGGACACGGAGCCGUACACACCUGAAGUUCUGUUGGCCAUGAAGCGUUUGUGGAAAGAUGGAGGAGUUCAGGCCUGCUUCAACCGAUCACGAGAAUAUCAGCUCAAUGACUCGGCUCAAUAUUACCUGGACAGUUUGGACCGAAUCGGAGCAACUGACUAUAUGCCCACUGAGCAGGACAUUUUGAGGUCGCGGGUUAAAACCACCGGUAUUGUGGAGACUCACUUCAGCUUCAAGAACCUGCACUUCAGGCUGUUCGAUGUAGGAGGUCAGAGAUCAGAGAGAAAAAAAUGGAUUCACUGCUUUGAAGGUGUGACGGCUAUAAUCUUCUGUGUGGCGAUGAGCGGCUAUGACCAAAUGUUACAUGAAGAUGAGACAACAAAUCGUAUGCACGAGUCGCUCAUGCUGUUUGACUCCAUCUGUAAUAAUAAGUUUUUUGUCGACACGUCCAUCAUCCUCUUCCUCAACAAGAAGGAUCUUUUUUCAGAGAAGAUUAAGAAAUCUCCGCUGACCAUGUGCUUCCCAGAGUAUACAGGUCCGAACACGUACGAUGACGCGUCAGCGUACAUUCAGGUUCAGUUUGAGAGUAAAAAUCGUUCACCUAAUAAAGAGAUUUACUGCCACCAGACGUGUGCGACUGACACGGGAAACAUUCAGGUGGUGUUCGAUGCCGUCACUGACAUCAUCAUCGCCAACAACCUGCGUGGCUGUGGCCUGUACUGAGCUCCAACAAGCUGCAGCGAGCACGCCGUCACCCAAAUCAUCGUUUGUCGUCAUGGUUAAUUACAGUUAACUUUGGAAAGAUCCUACAUUCCAAAAACAAAUCAAAAUUCUCAGGAUGGUAAAGAGACCAGUGUCUGCUGUAUCCUUUUUGUUUAUCUAUUAGUGAAUUUCUCAAAAAACGUUCAUAUCUAAUGAGAUAUUCAUCAUUUGUUUUAUUUUUAAUGUCAUUUCCAAAACAACGCGUCUCUCAGGCCAAAAGCCGUUUGGGUGAAUCGUAGCUCAGAUAAAUCUGCUGGAUCUAAUACUUUACAUCGAGGUUCUUUUUAACUGACAUCAUUUAACACACUCAUUAACAUAAACACACACUCAAACUAAACAUCAGCGUUAAUGCACCGUCAGGAACAGGCUAAUUAACACUCGUUAAACGUUCGGUGAUUUUUAAAAAUAAUAAGCCAAUUAACCACAAACAGCUGCGUUCGCUAACAUUUACGUCAUUGUCGUUAUCCUCGAUCUAAUAUUUACACCUGCAGAUCAGUGUUCAGGAAGUUUAUAUUGUUCACUGGAACAUUAUUUAAUGCGGUCGUAAAUUUCAUUAACAUUUCAACAAUCCGGAAAAGUCACAGCUCGAUCUCUGACCCCCGUGUCUCCUUCCAUUAAUGUAAUAUCGAUAAACGUCUCCUAAAGUCAUCGACGUAAAAUUGACACACGCCGAUCACGUGGUAGAACGAACGCAUACGGAGAAUUAAUCAACACCUUCUGACCAAUCACAGUCCAGGAUUCGGCAGCGCCGUGGGAGAAUUGACGUUCCUUGAUGUUUAUGUGGCACCUAAUUCUUGUCAAGAAUAGCUUCAUGUAAAAUGUUACAUUUGCUUUGUAAAUUAUUCUAUUUAUUGAGUUGUGUAUAGAACAUGAACAUGAAUAUUGUGUGUACAGAUUUUUUAUCUCCCACAGGUACGUGUUAGAUUUAUAAACAGAACCGAGCGGUUCGGAACUCUGACGGAUAUAUAUCACCAUUUAGAGGAAGACAAAUGUAGCAGAUAGAAAAUUAAAGCACAGUCUUAAUUAUACCAAUAUUAAUAAAUAAACAAACUACUGAACUCUUCAUCUGUGUGUGUGUGUGUGUGUGUGUGUGUGUGUGUGUGUGUGUGUGUGUGUGUGUGUGAGAGAGAGAGAGAGAGAGAGAGAGAGAGAUUAAACCUUUCUCAUGUUUCCUGUCCUUUUUUUUUUUUAAAGCUCUCUCUGUCUUUUCCUUGUCUUUGUCACCUGAUGAAACGUUUACAAUAAAAUCAGUUUGGAUCCA
Molecule: RNA transcript, 2802 nt
Organism: Tachysurus fulvidraco (yellow catfish)
Lineage: Eukaryota; Metazoa; Chordata; Actinopteri; Siluriformes; Bagridae
Gene: gnao1b
Gene name: guanine nucleotide binding protein (G protein), alpha activating activity polypeptide O, b
Exons: 9
Source: RefSeq, a predicted model, not a curated record